CGUAGGGUCCGAGCGUUGUCCGGAAUUAUUGGGCGUAAAGGGCUCGUAGGCGGUUUGUCGCGUCGGGAGUGAAAACUUGGGGCUUAACCCCAUUCGUGCUUCCGAUACGGGCAGACUAGAGGCAGGCAGGGGAGAACGGAAUUCCUGGUGUAGCGGUGGAAUGCGCAGAUAUCAGGAGGAACACCGGUGGCGAAGGCGGUUCUCUGGGCCUGUUCUGACGCUGAGGAGCGAAAGCAUGGGGGAGCGAACAGGAUU
This 255-nucleotide ribosomal RNA is filed under the name uncultured bacterium. RNAcentral's name for it is "partial 16S ribosomal RNA". It matches the Rfam family "Bacterial small subunit ribosomal RNA", at positions 526 to 779 of the family's 1533-position model. The record is from RNAcentral.